Molecule: long non-coding RNA, 544 nt
Filed under: Solanum tuberosum (potato)
Lineage: Eukaryota; Viridiplantae; Streptophyta; Magnoliopsida; Solanales; Solanaceae
Description: long non-coding RNA (STUB_LNC000611)
Source: RNAcentral
UUGAUAUUUAAAAAAUCCGAACUAACCCGACCAUGUACACCCCUACCACGUAUACAUCUGUGAAUGAACUAAUAUUCUCUAAACUGGAAAAAAAAUUCAUUCCAACAAUGAAACGGAAACUUGUCAUGCGGAAUUACUUUAGUAGUAGGGCCUCUUCAAGUGUUAUGCCUCUUCAUUUUUGGUAUGCUACACAGAGAAAAUGUCAUCACAACUAAGAGCGGAAUUAAAUAAAUACAACAGAUCUUAACAUGUAUAAUCUACGCACUCUCUUUUAGAAAAGAGAGGAGUGUAGUCCUUGUGGCUCAACAAUGUCAUUAGGUGACAUCAUACAUAUACAGAUGAACCAUCUAUUUAGCCACUUUAAAUUUUGUAAAAGAAAAAACAAACUUGGAAAUUACUCAAUCGAGUCCCUAAACACAUAAUUUUCAAGUGUAACAAAAAUGUCUUUGUGACGCAUUAUGUGAACAGGAGGAAUAUCACAAUCAAACCAUGCGAACAUUAAACACACUUAUUCCUUUUAUAGGUGCAUAUGCAUUAAUUAAAC